RNAcentral lists this ribosomal RNA (549 nucleotides) under uncultured bacterium. Its description in RNAcentral is "partial 16S ribosomal RNA". It matches the Rfam family "Bacterial small subunit ribosomal RNA", at positions 355 to 895 of the family's 1533-position model. The record is from RNAcentral.
UGGGGAAUAUUGCACAAUGGGCGCAAGCCUGAUGCAGCCAUGCCGCGUGUGUGAAGAAGGCCUUCGGGUUGUAAAGCACUUUCAGCGAGGAGGAAGGUGGUGGACUUAAUACGUUCAUCAAUUGACGUUACUCGCAGAAGAAGCACCGGCUAACUCCGUGCCAGCAGCCGCGGUAAUACGGAGGGUGCAGGCGUUAAUCGGAAUUACUGGGCGUAAAGCGCACGCAGGCGGUUUGUUAAGUCAGAUGUGAAAUCCCCGGGCUCAACCUGGGAACUGCAUUUGAAACUGGCAAGCUAGAGUCUCGUAGAGGGGGGUAGAAUUCCAGGUGUAGCGGUGAAAUGCGUAGAGAUCUGGAGGAAUACCGGUGGCGAAGGCGGCCCCCUGGACGAAGACUGACGCUCAGGUGCGAAAGCGUGGGGAGCAAACAGGAUUAGAUACCCUGGUAGUCCACGCUGUAAACGAUGUCGAUUUUGGAGGUUGUGCCCUUGAGGCGUGGCUUCCGGAGCUAACGCGUUAAAUCGACCGCCUGGGGAGUACGGCCGCAAGGUU